Molecule: ribosomal RNA, 256 nt
Filed under: Salmonella enterica subsp. enterica serovar Typhimurium
Lineage: Bacteria; Pseudomonadati; Pseudomonadota; Gammaproteobacteria; Enterobacterales; Enterobacteriaceae
Also listed under: 3 other names
Description: partial 23S ribosomal RNA
Rfam family: Bacterial large subunit ribosomal RNA
Source: RNAcentral
GUACGUACAAGCAGUGGGAGCACAGGUUUACCUGUGUGACUGCGUACCUUUUGUAUAAUGGGUCAGCGACUUAUAUUCUGUAGCAAGGUUAACCGUAUAGGGGAGCCGGAGGGAAACCGAGUCUUAACCGGGCGUUAAGUUGCAGGGUAUAGACCCGAAACCCGGUGAUCUAGCCAUGGGCAGGUUGAAGGUUGGGUAACACUAACUGGAGGACCGAACCGACUAAUGUUGAAAAAUUAGCGGAUGACCUGUGGCU